Acanthosepion pharaonis is the source of this 112-nucleotide non-coding RNA. NCBI's taxonomy places the organism in Eukaryota, Metazoa, Mollusca, Cephalopoda, Sepiida, Sepiidae. The record is from the annotation of a GenBank genome assembly.
UUACGACCAUAUCAUGUUAAAGCACUGGUUGUCGUCCAAUCACAGAAGUUAAGCAACGUUGAACCUGGUCAUUACUCAGAUGGGUGACCGCUGGGCAAUAUCAGGUGAAGUA